UACAGAGGGGGCAAGCGUUGUUCGGAAUUACUGGGCGUAAAGGGCGCGUAGGCGGCCUGCUAAGUCGAACGUGAAAUCCCUGGGCUCAACCCAGGAACUGCGUCCGAUACUGGUUGGCUUGAAUCCGGGAGAGGGAUGUGGAAUUCCAGGUGUAGCGGUGAAAUGCGUAGAUAUCGUGAGGAACACCAGUGGCGAAGGCGACACUCUGGAGAGCAACUGACGCUGAGGCACGAAGGCCAGGGGAGCGAACGGG
Molecule: ribosomal RNA, 253 nt
Filed under: uncultured bacterium
Lineage: Bacteria
Description: partial 16S ribosomal RNA
Rfam family: Bacterial small subunit ribosomal RNA
Source: RNAcentral